GACGAACGCUGGCGGCGUGCUUAACACAUGCAAGUCGAGCGGUAAGGCCCUUUCGGGGGUACACGAGCGGCGAACGGGUGAGUAACACGUGGGUGACCUGCCCUCAGCUCUGGGAUAAGCCUGGGAAACCGGGUCUAAUACUGGAUAUGGACUCCAUGACGCAUGUUGUGGGGUGGAAAGCCUUGUGCGGCUGAGGAUGGGCCCGCGGCCUAUCAGCUUGUUGGUGGGGUGAGGCCUACCAAGGCGACGACGGGUAGCCGGCCUGAGAGGGCGACCGGCCACACUGGGACUGAGACACGGCCCAGACUCCUACGGGAGGCAGCAGUGGGGAAUCUUGCGCAAUGGGCGAAAGCCUGACGCAGCGACGCCGCGUGAGGGAUGACGGCCUGGUGUAAC
RNAcentral lists this ribosomal RNA (396 nucleotides) under uncultured bacterium. RNAcentral's name for it is "bacterial SSU rRNA". It matches the Rfam family "Bacterial small subunit ribosomal RNA", at positions 28 to 429 of the family's 1533-position model. The record is from RNAcentral.